Molecule: ribosomal RNA, 484 nt
Filed under: uncultured bacterium
Lineage: Bacteria
Description: partial 16S ribosomal RNA
Rfam family: Bacterial small subunit ribosomal RNA
Source: RNAcentral
AUUGAACGCUGGCGGAAUGCUUUACACAUGCAAGUCGAACGGCAGCACGGGGGCAGCCCUGGUGGCGAGUGGCGAACGGGUGAGUAAUACAUCGGAACGUGCCCGGUCGUGGGGGAUAACGUAGCGAAAGUUACGCUAAUACCGCAUACGAUCUGAGGAUGGAAGCGGGGGACCUUCGGGCCUCGCGCGAUCGGAGCGGCCGAUGUCAGAUUAGGUAGUUGGUGGGGUAAAGGCCUACCAAGCCGACGAUCUGUAGCUGGUCUGAGAGGACGACCAGCCACACUGGGACUGAGACACGGCCCAGACUCCUACGGGAGGCAGCAGUGGGGAAUUUUGGACAAUGGGCGCAAGCCUGAUCCAGCCAUUCCGCGUGCAGGACGAAGGCCUUCGGGUUGUAAACUGCUUUUGUACGGAGCGAAAAGGCUCUGGCUAAUACCUGGGGCUCAUGACGGUACCGUAAGAAUAAGCACCGGCUAACUACGUG